This is a small nucleolar RNA of Acomys russatus (golden spiny mouse), 126 nucleotides long. RefSeq annotates it as small nucleolar RNA SNORA40. The transcript has a single exon. The record is from RefSeq and is a predicted model, not a curated record. NCBI's taxonomy places the organism in Eukaryota, Metazoa, Chordata, Mammalia, Rodentia, Muridae.
UGUGUGUGUGUGUGUGUGUGUUGAACUAGUAGACAAAGACAUAAAGCAGAUUUGAGAAUAAAACCUCUAUUGUAAUCCAGAACUCAUGGCUCUGUAUGAGUUUAUAUAUAUAUAUAAAAGAAAGAG